ACGAAAAUAUAAUGAACAGUUUCAACCCUGAAAAGUGCUCCAAUGAUUACAUUUUUAAGUUUAAUUGUUGAGACGCUCCAAGAAUCAAGAUUAGAACCAGAAACAAAAUGCAAAAGAAAGCAAUUGAAGAAGAAUAUUAUAUCGCAUGAAGGAUGUGAUCAUUUCAAUUAGUGACUAAUGUAUAAUACAAAAAAAAGGCGGUUAGGCCAAUUGAUGGGUACAAAAUUGUGAAGCUAGAAUUGAGGCUAAAUCUAUUUAAUUUACAGUCUAGCUAAGAAAAAUGGAAAGGAUCAGUCAUGGUAGCAGAGAAGCAUAACGACGCAUCGUCGAAUGAUGUAGAGUUUGGCCCUUUGUUCUCUUAGAACACCUCCGAAGCCUCUGCUCGAAAUUCUUCUCUUGCUGCUGCUGCUGUUCAUCUUCAUCUUGAUUGAUUGAUUUAGAGAGAGAGAGAGAGAGUUUGUGCUGUGUUGUGUGUUGUUGGUGAAUAAGAUUAAUUUGAAGAAUGAAGAGAGUAGAAGGGGUUCUUAUAGGGUGUGUGGUCGACUAAAGAGGCAACGAUGGGGCAUCAAACGGCGUCAAAGUGGCCCACACUGUUCCCCCCACGCCUAGCUUCCUUGAGAUUGCAUUGCCC
Molecule: long non-coding RNA, 631 nt
Filed under: Salvia miltiorrhiza (redroot sage)
Lineage: Eukaryota; Viridiplantae; Streptophyta; Magnoliopsida; Lamiales; Lamiaceae
Description: long non-coding RNA (SMIL_LNC002815)
Source: RNAcentral